AUCUGAAUGGAGUAAAUUUCUUAUCUUUUUGUGUUAUUUCAAUUCUUGCCUUUACAUUUUGCACAUGGAUUGUAUUGAAAUAUAAUCGAACAUGGGAGAUAGGCGACCCCUGCACUUCAAUUUCUUCUCUUCCCUGAAGCAGGUUGAGAAGAGAUUGAAAUUGGAACACCCAUCUGAACAAUCUACUGUAUUACCAUCUCCAUUGCUAGAAAGCAACAAAAUAUUAACAGAAUCACUAAGCUCACCCAUGUACCUUGAUUUGGAUCCCUCCAACAACAACAACCAUUACAGUUCUAGUACACUCCAAGACAGUAGUGAAGCCCCUGAAGUAUUCCUCUCAUGCUCUCCACAGUAUAUACCAACCCAAGAGAACCCAACUCAGCCAAAUGCCCUGAAUGACCCGAAAACUAUCAAUGACACUGAAGCUGAAGCCGUCGACGAUAUUGAACAGUUGAUUCAACUCUUGGGUUUGUCUAGUUGCCAGGAAGGAGAUGAAGAAAAGGCUGGUUUGGACUUGAAGUGUGGAGGUAGUGAAAAUGGGGGUAAUUCUUGUCAUUGUGAAGGCGGGUUUUAUGAGAAGAUUGUUGGGGUGAAGGGGCCAAAGUGUGGGAGAGAAGUGGAGAGGUUGGAGGGUUGGAUUAACUACUUUUUGAAUGGUGAUGGGGAGGGAAAGAUUGAGCCUUUCAGGCUGGCACAUUUGCUUUUGAGUAAAGCUGCUUUUGUUUCUGAGGGUGCUGAUCAUGGUUUUGAAGGCUUGGACUUCCCUUCAACGAUUGGGGAUUUUCUGCGCAACGAUCCUCCAACAGAUUAAUAUGUCACAAGAUCUAUUCAUUGUUAUUGUCUCUCUCAAAAGAUGGUGUUUCAUAAUUUCAUAUAUCAGCUUGAUGUAAGCUUCAAAAGAGCAGACAACACCUCAUUCACGAUAGGUCGCUCCUCGGGAUUUUGGUUGGUGCAAAACAAGGCUAGCUUGAGCAGCUCUUCUGCACUUGCCUCCUGUUCCUUGGAGAUAUUUGAAGUUAGCAAUGGGUCCAGAACUUCAAGAAGCGAAUCUGAUCCGUUUGCAAGGGCUUCCUCCACUAGUUGGUGCAAGCUCAUUGGCAGCCCAUUCUCUUCCAUGAGUCCUGUUGGCCUUUGUCUUGUCAGUAACUCCAUCACUAUUACACCAAAGCUGAACACGUCUACCUUGUUGUGAUUUUCCUCAUGUAUGCAAACUCUGCAGACAUACGUUUUAAGCAUAUGAGUACCAGUGAAAGCAUAUGGCAUUAUAAGUUUCAGAAGAAGGGUGAAACUGAAAAAGGAAAAAGAGAGAAAAGCUGAAUGGAGAUUAGUUUAUAAUUGUGAACAGCCAACAAAUUGUCACCUGCUGCCAAGUAGCCAAUUGUGCCUGGGAAAUCUGAUGCCAUGGAAAGGCUACUCCCAUCCUGGAAGUGAACACCCAACAUUCUAUCUGUUCCAAAAUCACUCACAUGGGCCUCCCAAUCAUCAUCCAACAAGAUGUUAGAAGGCUUCAAGUCGCAAUGAAUGAUGGGAAAAUCAUAGCCUGAAUGCAGGUUCCCAUUCUCCAUGUAUUCCAGAACCAAGGCCUUUAAUUUCGGUGUAUGUGAAGGUAAU
RNA transcript from Rosa chinensis, 1611 nucleotides. RefSeq lists it as uncharacterized. Lineage: Eukaryota; Viridiplantae; Streptophyta; Magnoliopsida; Rosales; Rosaceae. The record is from RefSeq and is a predicted model, not a curated record. The transcript is spliced from 4 exons.